RNAcentral lists this ribosomal RNA (301 nucleotides) under uncultured bacterium. RNAcentral describes it as "partial 16S ribosomal RNA". It matches the Rfam family "Bacterial small subunit ribosomal RNA", at positions 509 to 807 of the family's 1533-position model. The record is from RNAcentral.
CAGCAGCCACGGUAAUACGGAGGGUGCAAGCGUUACUCGGAAUCACUGGGCGUAAAGGACGCGUAGGCGGAUUAUCAAGUCUCUUGUGAAAUCUAACGGCUUAACCGGUAAACUGCUUGGGAAACUGAUAAUCUAGAGUAAGGGAGAGGCAGAUGGAAUUCUUGGUGUAGGGGUAAAAUCCGUAGAUAUCAAGAAGAAUACCUAUUGCGAAGGCGAUCUGCUGGAACUUAACUGACGCUAAUGCGUGAAAGCGUGGGGAGCAAACAGGAUUAGAUACCCGUGUAGUCCCUGUCUCUUAUAC